CUUUAUUGUUCCCAAAGGGCAAUUGGAAGAAGACUUUUAAAAAGCUAAAUUAAAAUGACUAAUAAGGAUUAAAAGAAGAAACCCAGAGGUUGCAGAGCCUGUUGAAGCCUGACGCUAUUUCCUAGAGUUAUAUUUUAAGGUUUCACCAAGCCUGCUGGGUUUGCCUAUUUCCAGGGCAGAGGCAUGUGUGAGACGUGACGCAGCUUUCUAAGGAUGUGAAGGAAGAGAGCAGGCACCUGCGGCCCCGUGAUUAUUAAAUCACUACCUGUUGGGACCUCCUGCGUCCUUCUGCCUGAGGUACAACCACCUUCAGACCACAACAGGCUGUGGCCCAGCUCCAGGAAGGCUGCCUUGCAGCUCAGCCCAGGAGGAAGAAUGAUGUCCAUUUAGAGUUCCAGGAAAGGUAUAAGUAAGCCUGAAGAAAAUGAUUUUAGUUGGAAUUUGGCCACAUUCAAGGGCUAAUUAAUGAGGAUUAUGAACAAAGUGAGGAAUGUGCUCUUGGCUGCCACUGAGUUAUCAAUGCAGUAAAGCAUGGCCUGCGAGUUUCCUAACCUCUGCAGAAGGACGCCCUUGUGCUCCAUCCAACAUAUUGAACUUGUUAAGUGCUGAAGAAAGCUGGACUCUUGGAAAAGGAUGUGGAGUCUUUUAUUCACUCACUGGAUGGUUGGUGCUUAAAUCUAUGGGAGCCUGGACCUGUGAUGCUUAAUCUUAAAUCUCGGAGGGUGGUGUGGUUGGUGUGCUCUGUUAGGAUGCCAUUCUGAGGCUUCAAAAAGCAACAGAGGAGAUCACCCAUUCCCUCUCCUGAUUGGGAGAGUUACCAAUCUCACA
Long non-coding RNA from Callithrix jacchus (white-tufted-ear marmoset), 828 nucleotides. RefSeq lists it as uncharacterized. Lineage: Eukaryota; Metazoa; Chordata; Mammalia; Primates; Cebidae. The record is from RefSeq and is a predicted model, not a curated record.